RNAcentral lists this ribosomal RNA (381 nucleotides) under uncultured marine Chaetocerotaceae. RNAcentral describes it as "SSU rRNA". It matches the Rfam family "Eukaryotic small subunit ribosomal RNA", at positions 587 to 972 of the family's 1831-position model. Lineage: Eukaryota; Bacillariophyta; Thalassiosirophyceae; Chaetocerotales; Chaetocerotaceae. The record is from RNAcentral.
AGCUCCAAUAGCGUAUAUUAAAGUUGUUGUGGUUAAAAAGCUCGUAGUUGGAUUUCCGAGGCAAGGGAUUAGUCCGACCUUUGGUGGGUAUUUAAUCCUCUUGCCUCGUCCUUGAGUGGUGCUUCUUGGUAUUAAGUUAUCGAGGAGAUAGCCGCUCAUCGUUUACUGUGAGAAAAUUAGAGUGUUCAAAGCAGGCUUAUGCCGUUGAAUAUAUUAGCAUGGAAUAAUAAGAUAGGACCUCGGUACUAUUUUGUUGGUUUGAGAACCAAGGUAAUGAUGAAUAGGGACAGUUGGGGGUAUUCGUAUUCAGUUGUCAGAGGUGAAAUUCUUAGAUUUACGGAAGACGAACUACUGCGAAAGCAUUUACCAAGGAUGUUUUCA